This 194-nucleotide small nucleolar RNA is filed under the name Sphaeramia orbicularis (orbiculate cardinalfish). Its description in RNAcentral is "Small nucleolar RNA U3 (ENSSORG00005018917.1)". It matches the Rfam family "Small nucleolar RNA U3". From Rfam's summary of the family: Small nucleolar RNAs (snoRNAs) are involved in the processing and modification of rRNA in the nucleolus. There are two main classes of snoRNAs: the box C/D class, and the box H/ACA class. The record is from RNAcentral. Lineage: Eukaryota; Metazoa; Chordata; Actinopteri; Kurtiformes; Apogonidae.
GAGCUAAACCAACUUUAGUUUUUGACUUGAGAAAUGUGUUUGUACAGAGUUUGGUCUGGUUGUCCAUGAUGUAGAGUUCAGAUGUUCCCUUCAGAAUAGGAAACUGGUGGAGAGACUGAGUUUCUUCUCUGCUGUUGAAGACUGUUCAGUGUCUGUGGAUGAGACUCUGGUGGAGGAAACAUGAUCUGAGUGGA